RNAcentral lists this ribosomal RNA (576 nucleotides) under uncultured bacterium. Its description in RNAcentral is "bacterial SSU rRNA". It matches the Rfam family "Bacterial small subunit ribosomal RNA", at positions 102 to 675 of the family's 1533-position model. The record is from RNAcentral.
ACGGGUGAGGAACACGUAGGGAUCUGCCCUGAAGAGAGGGAUAACCGGAGGAAACUCCGGCUAAUACCGCAUAAUCUCGAGAGAGGAAAGGCUAGGUAGCAAUACCCGGCGCUUUAGGAGGAACCUGCGUCUGAUUAGCUAGUUGGUUAGGUAACGGCUGACCAAGGCGAUGAUCAGUAGCUGGUCUGAGAGGAUGAUCAGCCACACUGGGACUGAGACACGGCCCAGACUCCUACGGGAGGCAGCAGUGGGGAAUAUUGGACAAUGGGGGCAACCCUGAUCCAGCAAUGCCGCGUGUGUGAAGAAGGCCUUCGGGUUGUAAAGCACUUUAGGUUGGGAGGAAGGCUUGGAGUUUAAGAGAUACCAAGAUUGACUGUACCGACAGAAUAAGCACCGGCUAACUCUGUGCCAGCAGCCGCGGUAAUACAGAGGGUGCGAGCGUUAAUCGGAGUUACUGGGCGUAAAGGGCGCGUAGGUGGUUAGUUAAGUGAGUUGUGAAAGCCCUGGGCUUAACCUAGGAACCGCAACUUAUACUGGCAGACUGGAGUACAGUAGAGGGUGGAGGAAUUUCCGGUG